This 569-nucleotide ribosomal RNA is filed under the name Salmonella enterica subsp. enterica serovar Infantis. RNAcentral describes it as "partial 23S ribosomal RNA". It matches the Rfam family "Bacterial large subunit ribosomal RNA", at positions 711 to 1276 of the family's 2925-position model. Lineage: Bacteria; Pseudomonadati; Pseudomonadota; Gammaproteobacteria; Enterobacterales; Enterobacteriaceae. The record is from RNAcentral. RNAcentral also lists the same sequence under 2 other names.
AGACCCGAAACCCGGUGAUCUAGCCAUGGGCAGGUUGAAGGUUGGGUAACACUAACUGGAGGACCGAACCGACUAAUGUUGAAAAAUUAGCGGAUGACCUGUGGCUGGGGGUGAAAGGCCAAUCAAACCGGGAGAUAGCUGGUUCUCCCCGAAAGCUAUUUAGGUAGCGCCUCGUGAAUUCAUCUCCGGGGGUAGAGCACUGUUUCGGCUAGGGGGCCAUCCCGGCUUACCAACCCGAUGCAAACUGCGAAUACCGGAGAAUGUUAUCACGGGAGACACACGGCGGGUGCUAACGUCCGUCGUGAAGAGGGAAACAACCCAGACCGCCAGCUAAGGUCCCAAAGUCAUGGUUAAGUGGGAAACGAUGUGGGAAGGCCCAGACAGCCAGGAUGUUGGCUUAGAAGCAGCCAUCAUUUAAAGAAAGCGUAAUAGCUCACUGGUCGAGUCGGCCUGCGCGGAAGAUGUAACGGGGCUAAACCAUGCACCGAAGCUGCGGCAGCGACACUCAGGUGUUGUUGGGUAGGGGAGCGUUCUGUAAGCCUGCGAAGGUGGCCUGUGAGGGUUGCUGG